RNAcentral lists this transfer RNA (71 nucleotides) under Ostrea edulis (European flat oyster). Its description in RNAcentral is "tRNA-Asn". It matches the Rfam family "tRNA". Rfam says of the family: Transfer RNA (tRNA) molecules are approximately 80 nucleotides in length. Their secondary structure includes four short double-helical elements and three loops (D, anti-codon, and T loops). The record is from RNAcentral. Lineage: Eukaryota; Metazoa; Mollusca; Bivalvia; Ostreida; Ostreidae.
GAGGGGAUAGCUUAAAAUAAAGCGUUUGACUGUUAAUCAAAAGAUACAAGUAAUGUCACUUGAGCCUCUCU